Molecule: ribosomal RNA, 1440 nt
Filed under: uncultured organism
Description: SSU rRNA
Rfam family: Bacterial small subunit ribosomal RNA
Source: RNAcentral
UGCUACAGGCUUAACACAUGCAAGUCGAGGGGCAGCAUGGUCUUAGCUUGCUAAGGCCGAUGGCGACCGGCGCACGGGUGAGUAACACGUAUCCAACCUGCCGUCUACUCUUGGACAGCCUUCUGAAGGGAAGAUUAAUACAAGAUGGCAUCAUGAGUCCGCAUGUUCACAUGAUUAAAGGUAUUCCGGUAGACGAUGGGGAUGCGUUCCAUUAGAUAGUAGGCGGGGUAACGGCCCACCUAGUCUUCGAUGGAUAGGGGUUCUGAGAGGAAGGUCCCCCACAUUGGAACUGAGACACGGUCCAAACUCCUACGGGAGGCAGCAGUGAGGAAUAUUGGUCAAUGGGCGAGAGCCUGAACCAGCCAAGUAGCGUGAAGGAUGACUGCCCUAUGGGUUGUAAACUUCUUUUAUAAAGGAAUAAAGUCGGGUAUGGAUACCCGUUUGCAUGUACUUUAUGAAUAAGGAUCGGCUAACUCCGUGCCAGCAGCCGCGGUAAUACGGAGGAUCCGAGCGUUAUCCGGAUUUAUUGGGUUUAAAGGGAGCGUAGAUGGAUGUUUAAGUCAGUUGUGAAAGUUUGCGGCUCAACCGUAAAAUUGCAGUUGAUACUGGAUAUCUUGAGUGCAGUUGAGGCAGGCGGAAUUCGUGGUGUAGCGGUGAAAUGCUUAGAUAUCACGAGGAACUCCGAUUGCGAAGGCAGCCUGCUAAGCUGCAACUGACAUUGAGGCUCGAAAGUGUGGGUAUCAAACAGGAUUAGAUACCCUGGUAGUCCACACGGUAAACGAUGAAUACUCGCUGUUUGCGAUAUACAGCAAGCGGCCAAGCGAAAGCGUUAAGUAUUCCACCUGGGGAGUACGCCGGCAACGGUGAAACUCAAAGGAAUUGACGGGGGCCCGCACAAGCGGAGGAACAUGUGGUUUAAUUCGAUGAUACGCGAGGAACCUUACCCGGGCUUAAAUUGCAGAUGAAUUACGGUGAAAGCCGUAAGCCGCAAGGCAUCUGUGAAGGUGCUGCAUGGUUGUCGUCAGCUCGUGCCGUGAGGUGUCGGCUUAAGUGCCAUAACGAGCGCAACCCUUGUUGUCAGUUACUAACAGGUUCCGCUGAGGACUCUGACAAGACUGCCAUCGUAAGAUGUGAGGAAGGUGGGGAUGACGUCAAAUCAGCACGGCCCUUACGUCCGGGGCUACACACGUGUUACAAUGGGGGGUACAGAGGGCCGCUACCACGCGAGUGGAUGCCAAUCCCCAAAACCUCUCUCAGUUCGGACUGGAGUCUGCAACUCGACUCCACGAAGCUGGAUUCGCUAGUAAUCGCGCAUCAGCCACGGCGCGGUGAAUACGUUCCCGGGCCUUGUACACACCGCCCGUCAAGCCAUGGGAGCCGGGGGUACCUGAAGUGCGUAACCGCGAGGAGCGCCCUAGGGUAAAACUGGUGACUGGGGCU